CAAGUCGAACGCGAAAGUUCCCUUCGGGGAGCGAGUAGAGUGGCGCACGGGUGAGUAACACGUAGGUAAUCUACCUUUGGAUUGGGAAUAACAACCGGAAACGGUUGCUAAUACCGAAUAAUGCAGCGGCACCUAAUGGUGACAGUUGUUAAAGCGGGGGAUCGCAAGACCUCGCGUCUGAAGAGGAGCCUGCGGCGGAUUAGCUAGUUGGUAAGGUAAUGGCUUACCAAGGCUAUGAUCCGUAGCCGGCCUGAGAGGGCGGUCGGCCACACUGACACUGACAUACGGGUCAGACUCCUACGGGAGGCAGCAGUCGGGAAUUUUGGGCAAUGGGCGAAAGCCUGACCCAGCAACGCCGCGUGAAGGAUGAAAUCCUUCGGGAUGUAAACUUCGCAAGAACGGGAAGAAUAAGUAAGAGUUAAUAUCUCUUACGAUGACGGUACUGUUUGUAAGCUCCGGCUAACUCCGUGCCAGCAGCCGCGGUAAUACGGGGGGAGCAAGCGUUGUUCGGAUUUACUGGGCGUAAAGGGCGCGUAGGCGGCCACCGCAAGUCACUUGUGAAAUCUCCGGGCUUAACCCGGAAAGGUCAACUGAUACUGCGGGGCUAGAGUGCAGAAGGGGCAACUGGAAUUCUCGGUGUAGCGGUGAAAUGCGUAGAUAUCGAGAGGAACACCUGCGGCGAAGGCGGGUUGCUGGGCUGACACUGACGCUGAUGUGCGAAAGCUAGGGGAGCGAACGGGAUUAGAUACCCCGGUAGUCCUAGCCUUAAACGAUGAAUGCUUGGUGUCUGGGGUUUUAUAGUCCCCGGGUGCCGUCGCUAACGCUUUAAGCAUUCCGCCUGGGGAGUACGGUC
Molecule: ribosomal RNA, 853 nt
Filed under: uncultured Pseudomonadota bacterium
Lineage: Bacteria; Pseudomonadati; Pseudomonadota
Description: bacterial SSU rRNA
Rfam family: Bacterial small subunit ribosomal RNA
Source: RNAcentral